CCUACGGGCGGCUGCAGUCGAGAAUAUUCCCCAAUGGCCGAAAGGCUGAGGGAGCGACGUCGCGUGUAUGAAGAAACCCUUCGGGGUGUAAAGUACUUUUAACUGGGACGAAUCAAUGACGGUACCAGUUGAAUAAGGGGCUGCUAAACUCGUGCCAGCAGCAGCGGUAAUACGAGUGCCCCAAGCGUUAUCCGGAUUUAUUGGGCGUAAAGCGUACGUAGGUGGUUUAUCGCAUCUCCUGUUAAAUCCCGAGGCUCAACCUCGGGGCUGCGGGAGAGAUGGCUAAACUAGAGACCGGGAGAGGUAAGUGGAAUUGCUGGUGUAGGGGUUAAAUCCGUUAAUAUCAGCAAGAACACCUAAUGUGAAGACAGCUUACUAGAACGGUUCUGACACUAAGGUACGAAAGCGUGGGGAGCGAACGGGCUUAGAUACCCUGGUAGUC
RNAcentral lists this ribosomal RNA (442 nucleotides) under uncultured bacterium. RNAcentral describes it as "bacterial SSU rRNA". It matches the Rfam family "Bacterial small subunit ribosomal RNA", at positions 338 to 795 of the family's 1533-position model. The record is from RNAcentral.